CGGGAUAUGGCGCAGCUUGGUAGCGCACCUCGUUCGGGACGAGGGGGUCGCAGGUUCAAAUCCUGUUAUCCCGACCA
RNAcentral lists this transfer RNA (77 nucleotides) under Corynebacterium sp. Its description in RNAcentral is "tRNA-Pro". It matches the Rfam family "tRNA". Rfam says of the family: Transfer RNA (tRNA) molecules are approximately 80 nucleotides in length. Their secondary structure includes four short double-helical elements and three loops (D, anti-codon, and T loops). Further hydrogen bonds mediate the characteristic L-shaped molecular structure. tRNAs have two regions of fundamental functional importance: the anti-codon, which is responsible for specific mRNA codon recognition, and the 3' end, to which the tRNAs corresponding amino acid is attached (by aminoacyl-tRNA synthetases). tRNAs cope with the degeneracy of the genetic code in two manners: having more than one tRNA (with a specific anti-codon) for a particular amino acid; and 'wobble' base-pairing, i.e. permitting non-standard base-pairing at the 3rd anti-codon position. Lineage: Bacteria; Bacillati; Actinomycetota; Actinomycetes; Mycobacteriales; Corynebacteriaceae. RNAcentral also lists the same sequence under 22 other names. The record is from RNAcentral.